GCCGAAAGGCGUAGUCGAUGGGAAACGGGUUAAUAUUCCCGUACUUGGUGUUACUGCGAAGGGGGGACGGAGAAGGCUAUGUUGGCCGGGCGACGGUUGUCCCGGUUUAAGCGUGUAGGUGUGUGUUCCAGGUAAAUCCGGUUCACUUUAACACUGAGGCGUGACGACGAGGCACUACGGUGCUGAAGCAACAAAUGCCCUGCUUCCAGGAAAAGCCUCUAAGCAUCAGGUAACAUCAAAUCGUACCCCAAACCGACACAGGUGGUCAGGUAGAGAAUACCAAGGCGCUUGAGAGAACUCGGGUGAAGGAACUAGGCAAAAUGGUGCCGUAACUUCGGGAGAAGGCACGCUGACACGUAGGUGAAGUGAUUUACUCAUGGAGCUGAAGUCAGUCGAAGAUACCAGCUGGCUGCAACUGUUUAUUAAAAACACAGCACUGUGCAAACACGAAAGUGGACGUAUACGGUGUGACGCCUGCCCGGUGCCGGAAGGUUAAUUGAUGGGGUCAGCGCAAGCGAAGCUCCUGAUCGAAGCCCCGGUAAACGGCGGCCGUAACUAUAACGGUCCUAAGGUAGCGAAAUUCCUUGUCGGGUAAGUUCCGACCUGCACGAAUGGCGUAAUGAUGGCCAGGCUGUCUCCACCCGAGACUCAGUGAAAUUGAACUCGCUGUGAAGAUGCAGUGUACCCGCGGCAAGACGGAAAGACCCCGUGAACCUUUACUAUAGCUUGACACUGAACAUUGAGCCUUGAUGUGUAGGAUAGGUGGGAGGCUUUGAAGUGUGGACGCCAGUCUGCAUGGAGCCGACCUUGAAAUACCACCCUUUAAUGUUUGAUGUUCUAACGUGGACCCGUUACCCGGGUUGCGGACAGUGUCUGGUGGGUAGUUUGACUGGGGCGGUCUCCUCCUAAAGAGUAACGGAGGAGCACGAAGGUUGGCUAAUCCUGGUCGGACAUCAGGAGGUUAGUGCAAUGGCAUAAGCCAGCUUGACUGCGAGCGUGACGGCGCGAGCAGGUGCGAAAGCAGGUCAUAGUGAUCCGGUGGUUCUGAAUGGAAGGGCCAUCGCUCAACGGAUAAAAGGUACUCCGGGGAUAACAGGCUGAUACCGCCCAAGAGUUCAUAUCGACGGCGGUGUUUGGCACCUCGAUGUCGGCUCAUCACAUCCUGGGGCUGAAGUAGGUCCCAAGGGUAUGGCUGUUCGCCAUUUAAAGUGGUACGCGAGCUGGGUUUAGAACGUCGUGAGACAGUUCGGUCCCUAUCUGCCGUGGGCGCUGGAGAACUGAGGGGGGCUGCUCCUAGUACGAGAGGACCGGAGUGGACGCAUCACUGGUGUUCGGGUUGUCAUGCCAAUGGCACUGCCCGGUAGCUAAAUGCGGAAGAGAUAAGUGCUGAAAGCAUCUAAGCACGAAACUUGCCCCGA
This 1418-nucleotide ribosomal RNA is filed under the name Salmonella enterica. RNAcentral's name for it is "partial 23S ribosomal RNA". It matches the Rfam family "Bacterial large subunit ribosomal RNA", at positions 1401 to 2802 of the family's 2925-position model. Lineage: Bacteria; Pseudomonadati; Pseudomonadota; Gammaproteobacteria; Enterobacterales; Enterobacteriaceae. The record is from RNAcentral.